Molecule: ribosomal RNA, 253 nt
Filed under: uncultured bacterium
Lineage: Bacteria
Description: partial 16S ribosomal RNA
Rfam family: Bacterial small subunit ribosomal RNA
Source: RNAcentral
GACGUAGGGGGCGAGCGUUGUCCGGAUUUAUUGGGCGUAAAGCGCGCGUAGGCGGCCCGUUAAGUCGGAUGUGAAAACCCGUGGCUCAACCACGGGCCUGCAUCCGAUACUGGCGGGCUCGAGGCAGGCAGGGGAGAGCGGAAUUCCUGGUGUAGCGGUGAAAUGCGCAGAUAUCAGGAGGAACACCGGUGGCGAAGGCGGAUCUCUGGGCCUGUCCUGACGCUCAGGCGCGAAAGCUAGGGGAGCAAACAGG